CCUACGGGUGGCAGCAGUGAGGAAUAUUGGUCAAUGGGCGCAAGCCUGAACCAGCCAAGUCGCGUGAGGGAAGACGGCCCUACGGGUUGUAAACCUUUUUUGCCGGGGAGCAAGCCUGAGCACGUGUGCCCAGGCGGAGAGUACCCGGCGUAAAAGCAUCGGCUAGCUCCGUGCCAGCAGCCGCGGUAACACGGGGGACGCGAGCGUUAUCCGGAUUUAUUGGGGUUAAAGGGCGCGCAGGCGGGCUGUUAAGCCGGCGGUAAAAAUUCAGGGCUCAACCCUGUCGUGCCGUCGGAACUGGCAGUCUUGAGUGGGCGAGAAGUAUGCGGAAUGCGUGGUGUAGCGGUGAAAUGCAUAGAUAUCACGCAGAACGCCGGUUGCGAAGGCAGCAUACCGGCGCCCAACUGACGCUGAGGCACGAAAGCGUGGGGAUCGAACAGGAUUAGAUACCCGUGUAGUC
Molecule: ribosomal RNA, 460 nt
Filed under: uncultured bacterium
Lineage: Bacteria
Description: partial 16S ribosomal RNA
Rfam family: Bacterial small subunit ribosomal RNA
Source: RNAcentral